CCUACGGGUGGCAGCAGUGAGGAAUAUUGGUCAAUGGGCGAGAGCCUGAACCAGCCAAGUCGCGUGAGGGAGUACUGCCCUAUGGGUUGUAAACCUCUUUUGUCGGGGAGCAAAAGCCGGACGUGUCCGGCUGUGAGAGUACCCGAAGAAAAAGCAUCGGCUAACUCCGGGCCAGCAGCCGCGUUAAUACGGAGGAUGAGAGCGUUAUCCGGAGUUAUUGGGUUUAAAGGGUGAGCAGGGGGAUUUUUAAGUCAGCGGUCAAAUAGUGGGGGUCAACCCCAUCCAGCGGUUGAAACGGGGGAUGUAGAGGGGGCGAGAGGUAUGCGGAAUGCGGGGUGUAGCGGUGAAAGGCAUAGAGAUCACGCAGAACCCCGAUUGCGAAGGCAGCAUACCGGUGCACAACUGACGCUCAGGCACGAAAGCGGGGGUAUCGAACAGGAUUAGAUACCCUUGUAGUC
This 458-nucleotide ribosomal RNA is filed under the name uncultured bacterium. RNAcentral's name for it is "partial 16S ribosomal RNA". It matches the Rfam family "Bacterial small subunit ribosomal RNA", at positions 338 to 795 of the family's 1533-position model. The record is from RNAcentral.